GAUGAACGCUGGCGGCGUGCCUAAUACAUGCAAGUCGAGCGAACAGACGCGUAGCUUUCUCCUCUGCCGUUAGCGGCGUACGUGUGAGUAACACGUGGAUCCCCUCCCUUUAAGACUGGGCUAACUUCUUGAAACCGGUGCUAAUACCUGAUAAUAUAUUGCAUCGCAUUUUUCAAUAGUGUACGACGGUUUUGCUGUCACUUAUAGAUGGUUCCGCGCCGCAUUAGCUAGUUGGUAAGGUAACGGCUUACCAAGGCAACGAUGCGUAGCCGAGCUGAGAGGGGGAGCGGGCACACUAGAACGGAGACACGGUACAGACUCCUACGGGAGGCAGCAGAAGGGAAUCUUACGCAAUGGGCGAAAGCCUGAAGGAGUAAAGCCGCGUGAGGGAUGAAGGGAAUCGGAUCGUAAAACUCUGUUAUUAGGGAAGAACAAAUGUGUAAGUAACUAGGAACGUCUUGACGGUACCUAAUCAGAAAGCAACGGCUAACUACGUG
Molecule: ribosomal RNA, 497 nt
Filed under: uncultured bacterium
Lineage: Bacteria
Description: partial 16S ribosomal RNA
Rfam family: Bacterial small subunit ribosomal RNA
Source: RNAcentral